CAUUCAGAUCGCCUCAGCCCUUGGCCUAAAGACCAUCAACGUGAUCCGAGACAGACCUGACAUCAAGAAGCUAACUGACAGACUGAAGGAUCUAGGAGCUGAUUAUGUCCUCACAGAGGAGGAGCUAAGGAUGCCCGAGACCAAAAACAUCUUCAAGGCCCGGAGGAACCAUGGUGACCUAUGGAGGAAUGGCCAAGCAGCCUGUAACAGCCUCUGUGAGUAUGCUCAUUUUUAAGGACCUCAAACUUCGUGGCUUUUGGUUGUCCCAGUGGAAGAAGAACCAUAGUCCAGAUGAGUUCAAGGAGCUGAUUCUCUUUCUCUGCAACCUCAUCCGCCAAGGCCAGCUCACAGCCCCUGCCUGGUCCGGGAUUCCACUGCAGGACUACCAGCAGGCUUUGGAAGCCUCCAUGAAGCCUUUUGUGUCUUCGAAGCAGAUUCUCACUAUGUGAUUACUCCAGAGGACCAGGAGGAAAGCAGGAGAGGCAGGCCAGCAAGAUUGGCUGGCUGCUGGCCCUCCAUGAGGACUCCAGACUGCCUCACCCUCACUGCCUCUUCCUACCAGGAGGGUGGGAGGCCAACCCCAGGGUCCCUAAUAAACCCUGGACUUCCC
This 610-nucleotide long non-coding RNA is filed under the name Rattus norvegicus (Norway rat). Its description in RNAcentral is "long non-coding RNA NONRATT022683". The record is from RNAcentral. Lineage: Eukaryota; Metazoa; Chordata; Mammalia; Rodentia; Muridae.